RNAcentral lists this ribosomal RNA (427 nucleotides) under uncultured Lysobacteraceae bacterium. Its description in RNAcentral is "bacterial SSU rRNA". It matches the Rfam family "Bacterial small subunit ribosomal RNA", at positions 356 to 774 of the family's 1533-position model. The record is from RNAcentral. Lineage: Bacteria; Pseudomonadati; Pseudomonadota; Gammaproteobacteria; Lysobacterales; Lysobacteraceae.
GGGGAAUAUUGGACAAUGGGCGCAAGCCUGAUCCAGCCAUGCCGCGUGGGUCAAGAAGGCCUUCGGGUUGUAAAGCCCUUUUGUUGGGAAAGAAAAGCAGCCGGCCAAUACCCGGUUGUUCUGACGGUACCCAAAGAAUAAGCACCGGCUAACGUCGUGCCAGCAGCCGCGGUAAUACGAAGGGUGCAAGCGUUACUCGGAAUUACUGGGCGUAAAGCGUGGCGUAGGUGGUGGUUUAAGUCCGUUGUGAAAGCCCGGGGCUCAACCUGGGAACUGCAGGGGAUACUGGAUAACUAGAGUGUGGAAGGGGGUAGUGGAAGUCCCGGGGUAGCAGGGAAAUGCGUAGAGAUGGGGAGGAACAUCAGUGGCGAAGGGGACUGCCUGGGCAAACACUGACACUGAGGCACGAAAGCGUGGUGAGCAAACA